Molecule: long non-coding RNA, 1768 nt
Organism: Hemicordylus capensis (graceful crag lizard)
Lineage: Eukaryota; Metazoa; Chordata; Lepidosauria; Squamata; Cordylidae
Exons: 6
Source: RefSeq, a predicted model, not a curated record
CUGAACUCGAGUAGGGCCCAAGCCAGCCAGGAAGGAGGAGGCAGCCAGAGUGUUCUCUGCAGCAGAAGACUCCUUGCUGCCCUGCUUAACCCAGACCAGCAUUUGCCAGGUACUGCAUGAGUAACAGUUGACAACACAAGGAAUUCUGAAAUUUAGGAAAAUACCCCAUUGCCCCCAUUUUGGAUGAGAUUGCAAUUGCCCUGGAAGAGCAAGUGAACAGCUUGGGAGUACUCCUGGACCUGACACUGUUCCUGGAUGCCCAGGAUCAGCAGUAUUCAUAAGUGACUGAAGCUAGGAUACUCCAAGGAGCUAGAUAUGAACAGCUGCUCUAACACUUUCUUCUUGAUACUACGACAAGAAGUGUGAACAGAUGUCACGCUUACAUGCCCACAUUAAGAAGUAAUCCUCAUUGGCUUCCUUCCAAGAAGAUAUCUAUAGGAUUGCACUGCGAGUGCUAUACAAAUAAAUAUCAAAGGAUGGAGCUGUUGGCCCGGGUCCAUGAUCUUUGAAAAACCUAACAACAGCUCUGGAGAGUUAUCAAAGGAGACUGUGAGGAACAAAACUGGAAAGAGGAGGAGAAGGAGCAAGGAAAAACCCUGAGCACCCCAACGAAGAGCAGAUGAGAAUGACGUGGCCACCCCACUAUAUAGCUCACCAAUCAGACGAGCAGCAUCCACAGAAAGAAGGGAAGCAGAAUGGCUUGCUGACAGACUGAAAAUCACCCUGAGAGUAUCCACAUGUCGAUAGCAUGGCUAGCAGGGAAGAUGAACUGAACCUUCUCCCACUGCUGGUGAGCCGCUCCUUCCUUCCCCAGCCCCUGCCAUGUGUGAGAAAGAAUGAGAGAAAGAGGGAGGCUUCCUCUCUGCAAGGGAGGGAGGAAGAACGGAAGUGGGAAGGAGGGGGAAGAAAGAAGAUGGCCGGAGGUACCUUCCCCACAGGAGUGAAUGGAGUGAGCAGAGGGUAUGGACUUCUGGUGAAAGGACAUAUAGAUGAUAUAGAUCCCCAAGGAAGGAAUCACUAUGAACUGCUCCUUCUCCCUACACAUACACCCACAUGCCCCUCCAGAGGCUGCAGGGUUCCAACCAAAGUGUUCUCCAGUUUGGAAAUCUAUGCACGUGUGCACAUUCCCCCCGCCCCCAACACUGCCCAAAGUUCUGGUAUACAGGAGCUACAUUUGAAAAAAUGCAAUAUAUACAAGGCUCAAGGUUGACUCAGCCUUCCAUCCUUCCGAGGUCGGUAAAAUGAGUACCCAGAAUAUUGGGGGCAAUAUGCUAAAUCAUUGUAAACCGCUUAGAGAGCUCCGGCUAUAGAGCGGUAUAUAAAUGUAAGUGCUAUUGCUAUUGCUAUUGCUAUAUAUUAGGCAGAUAUUCAUAGUUUGGGCUCAUUGUUAGCCUUCAAGAGAGCCCUAAAGACUUACUUGUUUGGCCUGGCCUUCCAAGGUUUUAAAAUUAUUUUUAAGUACUUUUAAUUGGUUUUAAAUUGCUCUGAACUGUUUUAAAUUGUUAUAUUGUUUUAACCUGUUUGUUUUAAAUGGUUGUGUUUUUGUUUUGUUUUUGUAUUUUACUUGCUGUGCACCACCCAGAGCCUUUGGAUGGCGUCGUAAUAAAUAAUAAAUAUAGCUGUGACCUACAUUAGCAACUUUGACCCUUACAUCCCAAUUGUCAUAUUAAAAAAAUUACGCACAUGACGUAAUUCGCUAUGUCUUUUGUGGAUGAUAGUAAACUGUCAAAAUUGACUGGAGGAGUUGGAGCUGUAUGCUACUUACUUG